GCAUGACGCGCACAAUUGACGGAUACGCGAGCAGUAACAAGAGACGAUCACGUCAGCAUGAUUUCAUAUUGCGAUGAGCCGCCAAGGCGUCUCAUCAACCCGUUUCGCCUGACGACCAUAGCGAGCGUGAACCACCCGAUCCCAUGCCGAACUCGGAAGUGAAACCGCUUAGCGCCGAUGGUAGUGUGGAGUUUCUCCAUGCGAGAGUAGGUCAUCGUCAGGC
RNAcentral lists this ribosomal RNA (223 nucleotides) under Onishia taeanensis. Lineage: Bacteria; Pseudomonadati; Pseudomonadota; Gammaproteobacteria; Oceanospirillales; Halomonadaceae. The record is from RNAcentral.